GGUGGCUUCGGCGACCGGCGACGGCUCCGUCGGUGGCGGCGUCUCUUCGAGCCAGGCUUUGAAGUACUGGCCGGACGAACAGGGAUCGAUUUGACCUUGAAAGCGGCUGAUGUUGUGCUUGUUGUGAUUUAAGAGCACAUAGCGAAGACCGAUGCGGACCUCGCGCGGGCUUUUCAGCGCUCGGGCAUGAUACCG
RNAcentral lists this unclassified non-coding RNA (195 nucleotides) under fungal sp. RNAcentral describes it as "partial internal transcribed spacer region". Lineage: Eukaryota; Fungi. The record is from RNAcentral.